RNAcentral lists this ribosomal RNA (545 nucleotides) under uncultured bacterium. RNAcentral describes it as "partial 16S ribosomal RNA". It matches the Rfam family "Bacterial small subunit ribosomal RNA", at positions 355 to 895 of the family's 1533-position model. The record is from RNAcentral.
UGGGGAAUUUUGGACAAUGGGGAAACCCUGAUCCAGCCAUCCCGCGUGUGCGAUGAAGGCCUUCGGGUUGUAAGCACUUUUGGCAGAAAGAAACGUCGCGGGUUAAUACCCCGCGAAACUGACGGUACCUGCAGAAUAAGUACCGGCUAACUACGUGCCAGCAGCCGCGGUAAUACGUAGGGUGCAAGCGUUAAAUCGGAAUUACUGGGCGUAAAGCGUGCGCAGGCGGUUCGGAAAGAAAGAUGUGAAUCCCAGAGCUAACUUUGGAACUGCAUUUUUAAGCUACCGGGCUAGAGUGUGUCAGAGGGAGGUGGAAUUCCGCGUGUAGCAGUGAAAUGCGUAGAUAUGCGGAGGAACACCGAUGGCGAAGGCAGCCUCCUGGGAUAACACUGACGCUCAUGCACGAAAGCGUGGGGAGCAAACAGGAUUAGAUACCCUGGUAGUCCACGCCCUAAACGAUGUCAGCUAGCUGUUGGGGCCCUUCGGGCCUUGGUAGCGCAGCUAACGCGUGAAGUUGACCGCCUGGGGAGUACGGUCGCAAGAUU